This 254-nucleotide ribosomal RNA is filed under the name uncultured bacterium. RNAcentral describes it as "partial 16S ribosomal RNA". It matches the Rfam family "Archaeal small subunit ribosomal RNA", at positions 474 to 727 of the family's 1478-position model. The record is from RNAcentral.
CACCAGCGCCACAAGUGGGGGCCACUAUUAUUGGGCCUAAAGCGUCCGUAGCAGGUUUGUCAAGUCCUUUGUGAAAUCGUUGUGCUUAACGCAACGGCGCGCAGGGGAUACUGGCUUACUAGAGACCGGGAGGAGUUAGGGGUAUUCGACGGGGAGCGGUAAAAUGUUAUAAUCCGUCGAGGACCACCUGUGGCGAAGGCGCCUAACUAGAACGGAUCUGACUGUGAGGGACGAAAGCCAGGGGAGCAAUCCGG